This is a long non-coding RNA of Peromyscus leucopus (white-footed mouse), 710 nucleotides long. RefSeq lists it as uncharacterized. The transcript has 3 exons. The record is from RefSeq and is a predicted model, not a curated record. Lineage: Eukaryota; Metazoa; Chordata; Mammalia; Rodentia; Cricetidae.
GGAUGCUGGAUGGUAGACCGAGCAGAGUUCUCCAGAGAACCCUGCUGGACUGUGCUUCACCUCUCCUGGAUCCUGCAACCGAUCCCUUUACUUGCUGAAACCCCACCCACUGUGGGUGGCACCGUUCCCUGGCCAGGAUCCUGGUCUGUAUAAAUGGAGAAAAAGCAGAGCAGAGCAGGUGUGUGCUUCCUGAUUGUGGAUGUCACGUGAGCAGCUGUUUCCAGCUCCUGCUGCCCUUCCUUCUCUGCCUGAUGGACUGCACCCUUGAACCGCGAGCCAGGAGGAAGAGGUCUCCGCAGGGGUCAGGGCAGGCAGCAGUCCAUGAAGAGCCGGUGGAGGUCUGCCACAGAGUGACUUGUCUGUGGUCAGCUCAUCUGCUCCUGGAGCAUCAUCAUCAAUGCAUCCAGCGGAGAUGCAAAGAAUGUGCUGAGGGACGGCAUCCGUGACAGCAGGAACAGCUAAGAAUCGGGGAGAAGAACCAGGAUAGACGUCAGCCGUGGCUCAGUGGGUAGAGAGCUUGCCCAGCAUCCGGGAAGCCCUGGGCCCCACCUCAGCACUGCACAGGAAGACCAGUGACACAGACCUCAGAUCCCAGCCCUCGGGAGGUAAGGGCAGGAGGAUCAGAAGUUCCUUGUCGUCUGUAGCUACUGUAGGAAAUUUGAGGCCACCCUGGGGUGCAGGAGACCCUGUCUCAAAAAUAAACAAAUAAA